UGAAUCUCAUUGCUUGAGAUUGUGUAUACAAAUAUUUUAAAGAAAUCUACUUUUUAGGAGAAUGUCUUUGCCUAUUGUCGAACCAGAUGACUCCGAUGCUAUCAAGACUCAAUCACAAUUAACUUAUUCCAUAUAUGAUAAAAGGAAUUAGAAAACUUAGUUACUUUUGUUCAGCAAAUGACUAUUUUGUACUCACUAGACCAUCGUGAUUGGAAUGAAGAAACAGUUAAUGUAAUAAGACUUUGGUUUUAAAUCCCAGCAAAAUAGUGCUAACUAUUUUUAUGACUCCAAUAUUAUAACUGCUUGUCUGGGCUUUCCAGUUGCGCCUAUUCUUGAUAUAAGUUACUUCAUACGCUCGCCGAACCAAAUACUUAAAAUUGACACAUUCUAUGACUACGUCAACUUUGGAACAAUACAUAACGAUGUCGAUGGAUGUUUGUUACGAAUUUUAGAGCUAGCUUAUGCACCAGUAUUCCGAAAUUACUCGGAGUGGGAUGACAAUAUUAAGCAACGUUUUUGUAAAUCACUAGAUAAAUUUUUAGUGUAUUUAACUGGAAUGCAUUUUAGGAUGUCCGGUAUGACUGUGUUAUAUAUACCUUAUAUUGUAAGACAAAUUGUGCAUGAAAAUGUAUCAUAUGAUCCAGAAUUUGUGAAAAAUUUAGAGUCAACUGCCGUUUUUGGGCGACACAAAUACGUUAUCUUCUAAAUGAUAAAAAUUUAAUGGUUUCUAACGAUUUUGUAGUACUCGAGGACGAGUACGAAUUUUGGCUAUAUCGAUUUGAAGUUUUGCAGGCUUUGAAUACGCAAUUAAACCAAAUUGAUGUACAGAGCAUAAUACGAAUUUUACGUAAUUCGCAUUCUGUCUAUAUUAAACAAAUCGAUGAACUUAUGUACGAGUCCACCUACGAAAUGAAUAGGGCAAUGUCUAAUAUUAAAUAUCUGCAUUUGUUAAUGAACGCUUGUGAAGAAAUUAAUCGAACUGAAAGUACUGCAAUCUUAACGCAACUAUUACCCCGACUUAUUAAUCUCAUUCAAUUCAUUUCGGUAAAUUCAGAUCAUUACAAUACCCGUGAUUUAAUUACCGGUCUAUUUAGAGAUUUAAGUAAUCGAAUAAUACGGUUUUGUACAGAUAUGGUUAAGCUGGAUAAAAUCCUUUCUGGUAGUUCCCGAUUUGGUAUGAAAAUAUGUAAUUUGUCUCUCAACUGUUGUCUGACCUACAAAGGAAUUUAUAGCAUUAUGACAAAAGAAAAUUCAACAUAUGAUCGAAAGUUAGUUUGGAAUCUGGAUAAUGCAAUGAUUUUUAAUCACGUUGAUGCAUUCAUGGAACGCCUGAAUGAUGUUAUAGAUAUAUGCCAGUCAAUGAUAGUUUUUGGUCGUUUAGAUGAAGGCGAAAGUAUUCCAAAACCACAAUUUUGUGGAACCUCUGGACCAGAUUUUGAAAAACUACUGAGGCCGUAGAAACCCAGUUUCUCUCUAUUUUAUUUGCGCUUAAUUCAGAUUCAAAAGACCUAAUAUUAAAUGUCCAUAAGAACGAUUGGUAUGAAGAAGUUCUUAAAUAUCGUCGUACAGUUCAGAGCUUGGAUGAAACUGUUCAGCGCUUAAUAUCUAAUGUUUUUCUGCACGUUUGUAAUGUAGAAGAAGCAAUUGAAUCGUUGAAUGUAAUGCUCUUUUAUUCAUAUCGCAGUUCGAUUAGGAAGUCGUAUUUACGUCAAGUAUCAGAGGUGUGGUUAUUGCUUUGUAAUGAAAUCGAUACAACAUCUAUUUUUUGAUGGAUCGAAGUAAAUUUCGUGAAAUUUGGAUUCCAUAUUAUGCGUCAAGAGCUAUUAGCUAUCAGAUUAAUAUAGAGCGGCUUACAUGGCUUCAUAAUCGCCUAAAUUCUUCUGAGUGGCUACCAUAUGUAUCGGAGGCUUUCAUAGUGUUAAAUAAAUUUGAAACUGUAAGAAAAGAAUUUGAUAAAGAGAUGCACAAGUCUUAUGAAGAAUGGCAAAAGAAUUGUUGUAGUACCAUACUAGUUCAGAAGCUCGACAAGUUUUUGCUUGCACGUAGUAAAAAAAAAAGGUCUACUUGAGUGCAAUAUCGAUCCGAGUAUUUUAAGCAUUUGCGAGCAUGCUCAGCACUUUUCCCGGCUGGGAUUUUCAGUUCUAGGAUCAGUGCGUAAAAUCUAUGAAAAACAAGAAUCUCUUCGCUUCGUCUAUAAUAGCGUUUUGGAAGUUUGCUUGAACUAUAAUCAUAUUCUUUCAGCACUAUCAGAGCAGGAGAGAAAGUUCUUUCGAUCAUUAAUACAGGCUUGUGAUAGAAAAAUUGCUCCGGGAGUUUUUAAAUUAAGUUAUGGUGGCGACUUAAGCGAUGCCUAUAUUGCUGAUUGUGCAAAACAUACCAAUAUGCUUCAAGAAACAAUGGAUCUGUAUAAACGUGCCAACAGAAAUAUAGCAAGAACAUGCGAAAAAAUUUGCAAUACUCCAAUUUUGAAGUUUACGUUUUCAGGUGCUGUUCCCAUUUCAGUUUUGAUGGUCAAUUAUCAAUUAUAUUCGAAGUGUUCGUCAUACACUUCGUGGUUACUAUAAUACCAUCACGGAUUUACUUUUGCUGUUUUCAUGAAAUUCCAACCAGUAAUCGAAGAUGUAAGUAAUUAUAAUUUAUUUUUAAACGA
Long non-coding RNA from Drosophila nasuta, 2650 nucleotides. RefSeq lists it as uncharacterized. Lineage: Eukaryota; Metazoa; Arthropoda; Insecta; Diptera; Drosophilidae. The transcript is spliced from 3 exons. The record is from RefSeq and is a predicted model, not a curated record.